This 1269-nucleotide ribosomal RNA is filed under the name metagenome. RNAcentral describes it as "bacterial LSU rRNA". It matches the Rfam family "Bacterial large subunit ribosomal RNA", at positions 1637 to 2925 of the family's 2925-position model. The record is from RNAcentral.
UAUGCCUGUACCAUAACCGACACAGGUGGGUAGGUAGAGUAUACUAAGGGGCGCGAGAUAACUCUCUCUAAGGAACUCGGCAAAAUGACUCCGUAACUUCGGGAGAAGGAGUGCCUUAUUUUUAAGGUUGCAAUAACAAGAUCCAAGCAACUGUUUAUCAAAAACACAGGUCUCCGCUAAGUCGUAAGACGAUGUAUGGGGGCUGACGCCUGCCCAGUGCCAGAAGGUUAAAGAAGUUGGUUAGCACUUGCGAAGCUGAUAACUGAAGCCCUGGUGAACGGCGGCCGUAACAAUAACGGUCCUAAGGUAGCGAAAUUCCUUGUCGGGUAAGUUCCGACCCGCACGAAAGGCGUAAUGAUUUGGAUACUGUCUCGGAGAGGGGCUCGGUGAAAUAGACUUGUCUGUGAAGAUGCGGACUACCUGCACCUGGACAGAAAGACCCUAUGAAGCUUUACUGUAACUUGAAAUUGAAAUUGGACUUUACUUGCGCAGUAUAGGUGGGAGGCGUUGAAUUUAUUCUUGCGGGAAUUUAGGAGCCAUCAGUGAGAUACCACUCUGGUAAUGUUAGAUUUCUAACUUUGAAUCAUGAUCUGGUCAAAGAACAGUUUCAGGCGGGCAGUUUGACUGGGGCGGUCGCCUCCCAAAUGGUAACGGAGGCGUACAAAGGUUUCCUCUGAACGUGUAGAAAUCGUAUCUAGAGUGUAAAGGCAUAAGGAAGCUUGACUGUGAGACCUACAAGUCGAGCAGGGACGAAAGUCGGUCUUAGUGAUCUGACGGUGCUGAGUGGAAAGGCCGUCACUCAACGGAUAAAAGUUACUCUAGGAUAACAGGCUGAUCUCCCCCAAGAGUUCACAUCGACGGGGAGGUUUGGCACCUCGAUGUCGGCUCAUCGCAUCCUGGGGCGGUAGUAUGUCCCAAGGGUUGGGCUGUUCGCCCAUGAAAGCGGUACGCGAGCUGGGUUCAGAACGUCGUGAGACAGUUCGGUCCAUAUCCGGUGUAGGCGUUAGAAUAUUGAGAGGAGCCUUCUUUAGUACGAGAGGACCGAGAAGGACAUACCUCUGGUGUACCAGUUAUCGUGCCAACGGUAAACGCUGGGUAGCUAUGUAUGGAGAGGAUAACCGCUGAAAGCAUCUAAGUGGGAAGCCCACCUCAAGAUAAGUAUUCUCAUCACAUAAGUGAGUAAGGUCACGGUAAGACUAACCGUUUAAUAGGCAUUAAGUAUAAAUAUAGUAAUAUAUGAGCUGAGAUGUGCUAACAGACCGAGGACUC